AUUUUGGAUUCGACACGGCCGUGCUGUAUUGCAUUCAUCAUCGGUGGAGUUACAGAGAGGUUACAAGUUGUCCUGAAAAUUUACACAAGGACCCCUAGAAAUUAAAAGGGAAAAGCAAUCGAGUCCUCCAUCGCAACAACAGGUACUUCACCGCCGGCCGUCCUUCUUCUCGCCGGGGACAAUACCACAGGGACACCACUGCCGCCGCCUCGCCCUGCUCACCGCGCUGCUUGCCCGACCAUACUCGCCGCGCCACCGAACAGCCACGCUCGCACGCGCCGCUCUCCCGACCCUGGUUUCCGCACCGCCGCCCGGCCGUGCUCGCUGGUUCCUGGAGAGAGAGAGGGGCACCGCCGCGCACCGUACAGCGUUGGGCGGCCGACGCCGGAGGGAAGAGGCCGCCGCGCGCUCGAGGGAAGAGGCCGCCGCGCGCCCGAGGGAAGAGGCCGCCGCGCGCCCGAGGGAAGAGCCCGCCGCGCGCCCGAUGGAAGAAGUCGUCGAUGGAGUGAGCCGCCCCCGCGCGCCAUGCUCGCCGCCCUCACAUCUGCCAUGCUUGCUGCCCGCGCGGAUGGCCUGCUUGCCCGCACCGGCCAUGGAUGGAUGGAUUCAUUGCCCGCGCGUCCGCCAUGCUCGCUGCGUGUGCGGCCUCCCUGCUCCCCGCCCGUGCGGCCUCCCAGCACACCGCCCGUGCGGAUGGCUUGCUUGCCCGCGCCGGCCAUGGAUGGAUGGAUGCGUGUUGUGCUUGUGCGUUCCGUGGUGUGAGUGGCCGUGUGGUGUGCGGUGUGCGUGGGUGGGUCGGGUGUGGGGGCGUGCGUUGGUGGGUGGGUG
This 828-nucleotide ribosomal RNA is filed under the name Triticum aestivum (bread wheat). Its description in RNAcentral is "partial small subunit ribosomal RNA". The record is from RNAcentral. Lineage: Eukaryota; Viridiplantae; Streptophyta; Magnoliopsida; Poales; Poaceae.